RNAcentral lists this ribosomal RNA (192 nucleotides) under uncultured bacterium. RNAcentral's name for it is "partial 16S ribosomal RNA". It matches the Rfam family "Bacterial small subunit ribosomal RNA", at positions 335 to 524 of the family's 1533-position model. The record is from RNAcentral.
ACUCCUACGGGAGGCAGCAGUAAGGAAUAUUGGUCAAUGGAGGGAACUCUGAACCAGCCAUGCCGCGUGCAGGAUGACUGCCCUAUGGGUUGUAAACUGCUUUUGUCAGGGAAUAAACCUUUCCACGUGUGGGAAGCUGAAUGUACCUGAAGAAUAAGGAUCGGCUAACUACGUGCCAGCAGCCGCGGUAAU